GACGAACGCUGGCGGCGUGCCUAAUACAUGCAAGUUGAGCGCUGAAGGUUGGUACUUGUACCGACUGGAUGAGCAGCGAACGGGUGAGUAACGCGUGGGGAAUCUGCCUUUGAGCGGGGGACAACAUUUGGAAACGAAUGCUAAUACCGCAUAAAAACUUUAAACACAAGUUUUAAGUUUGAAAGAUGCAAUUGCAUCACUCAAAGAUGAUCCGCGUUGUAUUAGCUAGUUGGUGAGGUAAAGGCUCACCAAGGCGAUGAUACAUAGCCGACCUGAGAGGGUGAUCGGCCACAUUGGGACUGAGACACAGCCCAAACUCCUACGGGAGGCAGCAGUAGGGAAUCUUCGGCAAUGGACGAAAGUCUGACCGAGCAACGCCGCGUGAGUGAAGAAGGUUUUCGGAUCGUAAAACUCUGUUGGUAGAGAAGAACGUUGGUGAGAGUGGAAAGCUCAUCAAGUGACGGUAACUACCCAGAAAGGGACGGCUAACUACGUG
RNAcentral lists this ribosomal RNA (496 nucleotides) under uncultured bacterium. Its description in RNAcentral is "partial 16S ribosomal RNA". It matches the Rfam family "Bacterial small subunit ribosomal RNA", at positions 28 to 507 of the family's 1533-position model. The record is from RNAcentral.